Molecule: ribosomal RNA, 619 nt
Filed under: uncultured Alphaproteobacteria bacterium
Lineage: Bacteria; Pseudomonadati; Pseudomonadota; Alphaproteobacteria
Description: bacterial SSU rRNA
Rfam family: Bacterial small subunit ribosomal RNA
Source: RNAcentral
GCUGGCGGCAGGCCUAAUACAUGCAAGUCGAGCGCGCCCUUCGGGGUGAGCGGCGGACGGGUUAGUAACGCGUGGGAACGUGCCCUUCUCUAAGGAAUAGCCACUGGAAACGGUGAGUAAUACCUUAUACGCCCCCCAAUCAAAUUCCAUUUGGUUGACGGAAAUUCUGUUGAAUGCCGGAUGGCAUUUGAUGGGGGGGAAAGAUUUAUCGGAGAAGGAUCGGCCCGCGUUAGAUUAGAUAGUUGGUGGGGUAAUGGCCUACCAAGUCUACGAUCUAUAGCUGGUUUUAGAGGAUGAUCAGCAACACUGGGACUGAGACACGGCCCAGACUCCUACGGGAGGCAGCAGUAGGGAAUCUUGGACCAUGGGCGCAAGCCUGAUCCAGCCAUGCCGCGUGAGUGAAGAAGGCCUUAGGGUCGUAAAGCUCUUUCGCCUGUGAUGAUAAUGACAGUAGCAGGUAAAGAAACCCCGGCUAACUCCGUGCCAGCAGCCGCGGUAAUACGGAGGGGGUUAGCGUUGUUCGGAAUUACUGGGCGUAAAGCGCGCGUAGGCGGAUUGGAAAGUUAGAGGUGAAAUCCCGGGGCUCAACCCCGGAACGGCCUUUAAAACUCCCAGUCUA